This 76-nucleotide transfer RNA is filed under the name Candidatus Saccharibacteria bacterium RIFCSPHIGHO2_01_FULL_48_12. RNAcentral's name for it is "tRNA-Asn". It matches the Rfam family "tRNA". Rfam says of the family: Transfer RNA (tRNA) molecules are approximately 80 nucleotides in length. Their secondary structure includes four short double-helical elements and three loops (D, anti-codon, and T loops). Lineage: Bacteria; Candidatus Saccharimonadota. The record is from RNAcentral. RNAcentral also lists the same sequence under 2 other names.
UCCGGGGUAGCUCAGUGGUAGUAGCGGGUGCCUGUUAAGCACUAGGUCGUGGGUUCGAAUCCCACCCCCGGAGCCA